Oreochromis aureus is the source of this 3929-nucleotide long non-coding RNA. RefSeq lists it as uncharacterized. The transcript is spliced from 3 exons. The record is from RefSeq and is a predicted model, not a curated record. Lineage: Eukaryota; Metazoa; Chordata; Actinopteri; Cichliformes; Cichlidae.
CUUUAAUAAAAUAUAAAAACAAAUAAAUACAGACACAGGAUCUUUUAAGGUGGUCACACUCUUCAGUCUCUCUAGAAACAUCUACACCAUGGUUCUCACAACGAGAGGCUGCCUGUUAGUCAGAUAUUUGACUGUGUCCUGUAGAGUGUCCUGUGGGGAAGAAGCUGGAAGUGUGAGCUAUCAGGUAUCAUACGUGUUGAUGGGCUGUUCAGAGUUUUCCUCACAUUACUGCAGACUCAUUCCUGAUAGGCUGAAGCUUUUCACCAAUUCUGUCCAUAACUUUUAUGUAAAUGAUUUAUAGAUGUGAGUUAAAGGCGUCACUUUUGGUUGUCUCAGCAUUCCACCACGUUCUAAAUUAUUAUGCAAAUGAUAUUUUUCUCUGAUUUUUUUCCUAAAUAGUCGAUUCAAAUGACAGUCAGCAUAAUUUUCGAGUCAUCAACCUUUACAGUAUAAUUCAAAUGUAACUCAACAAAACUGCCAAUGAAAACAGUAUGUUCUUCAAAAAUAAAAAACUUAAAAUGCACUGUUCCAAAUUAUUAUGCACACAGAGUUUCAAAAUAUUUUAUACAUUGUAGAGAAUUGAAAAUGGUCAUUUGUUGAAUUUGCAGCAUUAGGAGAUCAAUUUUACUGAUAUCAAAAGCAAUUUUAAUCAAAAACAUCUUAACAGGUCAAGUUACAUAUUAACAUAGGACCCCUUAUUUGAUAGCAGUUUUACAAUUCUUGCAUCCAAUCAGUCAAUCAAUCAAGGCUUUAUUCGCCACAUGCAGGUUGCCCUGCAGUGAAAUGGGACACCCCCCCCCCCGACCUUACACACACAACACAGACAUUACAUGGGGGUACAAGUCGGAGAUCGGUAGCAUUACAGAAAAAACAUUGAAAUAUACAUUACAAUGGGAAAGUACAAGAGGAAAAAAAGAGACCUCUACUCAUGCUGGGCUCCUGGGAGGACAGCAUGAGAACAGGAAACAAAAAAACUCCUCUGCACAAAAAGCACAUAAAUGUCCACAGCACAACAUUAUGGAACACGUGACAAGCCACAGGGAUGGGUAGGGGUUGAGGAGUAAUCCGAAGCAGACACAGCAGCUAUCCUGCCCAACGCUACCAUUCCAGCGCGGGCUCAGACCCGCCGUGUUCUCCAGGAGGGCACAAGCAUCGAAGGCGUUUGGAAAGGGAGGGGGGAUGAGUGAGUGCUUAUCAGUGUAUGUGUGUGUUUGCGUGUCUAGAGUUCAGCUGAGACAGUGUCCUUCGCCCUGCCAGGCUAAGUAAACAGUCUUCCAGCCAACCCAGGUGGCCUUGCAUGGAAUGGGAAGGAACAGACUCAACACAGUCGUUAUCAGGGAGUUUUUGUUCAGCUCCAGCCUUGAGACCGCAGCUGCCGCCGAAGGGAUAGCUGCCUUAUGAUGAUUACCCAUGGAAACAUCUGCCAUUACAAUUAUCUCAUGCACCUGCUCGCUGGACUUACCUGCAUACAGCUCAGCCACAGCUACGUUGCAGACUCCAUUCUGUUUCUCGCCUGCCCACCCCCGCUUCACUACCUGUGAUCUUGGAUCAAUUCAUACCAACAUUCACCCGGACCUCCGCAACCUCGCCUCGCCCUCUCACGUUCCUUCACCUGCAACAAAUGUCUCAGGCUACCGGCUCUAGCACCCCUGUGUCCUCAUCAACUUAUAAUAACUGAUAAUUCAUGCUCUAGCUCGAGAAUCUUGUUACGUCAUGUGCCUAUUACCCUGAUCGUAACCCAAGUUGGUAGUUAUAGUGUUUUCCUCUCAUCAUUGUAUAUAGCCUGUUGGCCAUGUUCACAGUUACAGUAUUAACUCACGCACAUGUAUAUAGCUCAUAGGUCUAAUAUUUAGCUCACGCCUUUGCAUAUAGUUCCCAGUCCAAUCUUCGCCAACGUGGGUAACUUGAUGAACUGGUGGGGAAGAGAUGACAAUGCUGGUCUUAAAUAUCCUUAGCAGACUGCUCCAGGUAAGGUGAUGACACCUCUGCCUCGGGCAGGUGCAGGAGAACAUGGACUCAGUGGAAUUUUCCAGCAGCUCACUAGGACUGUGAUAGUAUCCUAUUGUCAAUGGAAAAUUGUACUUAGUAGUCAGUAUAAGCUUUUAAUGAUAUAAGUUUACAUGUGAUAGAAUACUGCAUGAUGACCUUUUUAUGACUUAGACUGUUGUCCACUUUAAGAUUUGUUUCUGUUUUAUAAAUUCUUUCCCACAGCGAUAAUAGCUGAACAAGCAGUUUAUCUCCGACCAGGAAGAGGAGAGUUGGACACUUUUAUCUGCGCUCCCUAACAACAAGAGGGGCCGCGUCCUUCAGAAUCAUACACCUAACAUACGCACAUACAUACGCACCAACAUUCCUCUGUCUAUUCACUAUUGUAUUACUUUUGCAUAUAAAUAAAAACCAGGGCAGUGGCAGAGCGCUGAUCACAGGGCCCCCACUCUCGUAAUAUCUUUGGGCAAGAUACUAACCCCAAGUUGGCCUCCGAUGCAUUCAUCGGACUGUGAAUGUAGUUUAGUUUGCACUUGUGUUUAGAAGUGCUUGUAUGAGUGGGUGUGAAUGGGUGAAUGAGGCAUGUUGUAUAGAGCGCUUUGAGUACUCCAGGAGAGUAGAAAAGCGCUAUAUAAGAAUCAAUCCAUUUACCAAAACAAUAAGGAAUCUAUGCACAUCCUCCUCAUCCUAUGGGGCAGGUGUAGAGCCAGAAACAUGAGACAAAGAAAAACGAAUUCAUGGUUCACACACUGCAGAACUCCAGUGUCCAUAUUUAUCACAUCUAGUGAUGUUUCAAGCACACAUGCUCUUUGUCACACAAUGAAACACCAAGCAGUGCCUUUGUAAAUCACCUAUGAAUGGUCCCAUGACCAGUAACAUCCAAUCAAAAAUCAGAUCCUAUACAAACAAUAGAUAAGUGAAAAACAAUACAUAUUACCUGGAAAAAAAAAGACUUUAGAUAAAGAAUAAAUAAAUAAAUAAGUAAAUAAAUAAAAUAAUAUGAUUUUUUUAUAAUGGAAAGAAAAAAACACAAAAUAACAAAAAGAAAAAUAGAAUUGAAAAACGAACUACACAGAAAACAAAAGACAAUUCACCGAACCGCUCACCGAGUCAACCACAACGCAUCCUAUAUACUGUCUGUAGUGUUAUUAAAACAUACAUACACAGUGUACAUUAUCAAAAAACCUUAUACUGCCUUCAGGUAUUUACAUCAUCAAGUGUAAAAAAAACCCUCUUAAUCGUAAUUAUAAUAUUACCUUCAACUAAAAACACAUGAAUCCAUAAGAAAUAUAAAGAAAAACUCAAAUUUAUAUUGCAAUGAAAUACAUGGAGUUAUACAGGUAGAACAGGAUAAAUGUCCAUUUCUGAAGAGGUAAAGACUUAGAUAAAAUUUUCAGCAAAACUGAUCUCAUCCCCCCGGAUAUGAGGCGGAAUAGAGACCAAAAAUGUUAAUACUUUAGACUAAAAGAAGAUAUCCCUUUGUAUUAGAAAAAAUAAGAGAUUUUACAAUAUUGUUUUUAGUUUUUAAAAACUACAAAACUUAAAUAAAUCAUUUCUGAAUACCAGUUCAGAGGCUUCAACAAUCACAACGAAGCAAAUAAAAAACAAAGACGAUCAAAAGAAUAAUUCACUCUGUAUAAUUAUGUUAUAUAGACAGAACGAUUAUAUAUGCAUCAUAUUUCAUUUUACUGAAAAUUAGGGGAAAUCAGGGAUUUGCUAUGAGGACAUGACAUGAACAAGAGCAGUCGAAUAUUGUAUAUAGUCAUCGUACACAGCAUGAAUUCCAAAAAUACCAUUUCAUCCAUUGAAAAAGAGCUAAAGUCAGUUCAUUUCCAUAGAGAGGCACUUUGCAUCAGCAGCACCAUGCUCCAGUGCUCUGGGAGAGUUUAUAGUCCUGAGAGUUGAACACUGGAUGACUGACAGCUGUCCUUCAUCACAACAGA